Molecule: long non-coding RNA, 556 nt
Filed under: Homo sapiens (human)
Lineage: Eukaryota; Metazoa; Chordata; Mammalia; Primates; Hominidae
Description: HSALNT0384617
Source: RNAcentral
GUGAAGACACAGAAGGAGAUUGUCACAGACAGGGCAGAACCAUCUACCUUCCCUCCCAUCACCACAUCACUGGAGACCAAAACUCUCCCCACCCUUUAGGGACGCAAGUCGCAAAACAGCAGAGGGUUCACAGAUACAUGGGACACAAUUGAGUUCAUAGUCUUCACUGGAGAGCAAAUGAGGACAGGAAGAUAGAGACCAGACCUGGCAACCCAGUUGCUUUGUGAGUUUUCCACAAAUAUAUUCAGCUAGGGAGGAGAAACAAAAAAAAAUGCAGAUUGGAGAUAAGCCCAGGUUGGAAUCCAAGAAAACUAGAACAAUAGGACCCUUGGUCCACAAACGACAAAUUGAUGGUGUCCUGUGCUCUCCUUCCUAAGACAGAGAAGGAGCCUCGUAUAUCCAACAAUCGUCUUCAAAGAAGGUUAAGAUACAAUUACUCAUUGGAAGCAUCUGGCAGACUUGCGCCAAGGCUAGGCAUCAUUCUGGGUACUGAGGAAAGAAAAAUGGACAAGACUCACUCCUGCCUUUGAGAAGCUCAGAGUCCAGUGAGGGAAAC